This 73-nucleotide transfer RNA is filed under the name Elusimicrobiota bacterium. RNAcentral's name for it is "Elusimicrobia bacterium (anaerobic digester metagenome) tRNA-Thr". It matches the Rfam family "tRNA". From Rfam's summary of the family: Transfer RNA (tRNA) molecules are approximately 80 nucleotides in length. Their secondary structure includes four short double-helical elements and three loops (D, anti-codon, and T loops). Further hydrogen bonds mediate the characteristic L-shaped molecular structure. tRNAs have two regions of fundamental functional importance: the anti-codon, which is responsible for specific mRNA codon recognition, and the 3' end, to which the tRNAs corresponding amino acid is attached (by aminoacyl-tRNA synthetases). tRNAs cope with the degeneracy of the genetic code in two manners: having more than one tRNA (with a specific anti-codon) for a particular amino acid; and 'wobble' base-pairing, i.e. permitting non-standard base-pairing at the 3rd anti-codon position. RNAcentral also lists the same sequence under 1 other name. Lineage: Bacteria; Pseudomonadati; Elusimicrobiota. The record is from RNAcentral.
GCCGAGAUAGCUCAGUUGGUAGAGCACAUCCAUGGUAAGGAUGGGGUCCCGGGUUCAAGUCCCGGUCUCGGCU